This 395-nucleotide ribosomal RNA is filed under the name uncultured bacterium. Its description in RNAcentral is "partial 16S ribosomal RNA". It matches the Rfam family "Bacterial small subunit ribosomal RNA", at positions 523 to 917 of the family's 1533-position model. The record is from RNAcentral.
AUACGUAGGGAGCGAGCGUUGUCCGGAAUUACUGGGUGUAAAGGGAGCGUAGGCGGGAGUGCAAGUCAGAUGUGAAAUACAUGGGCUCAACCCAUGGGCUGCAUUUGAAACUGCAUUUCUUGAGUGAAGUAGAGGUAAGCGGAAUUCCUGGUGUAGCGGUGAAAUGCGUAGAUAUCAGGAGGAACACCGGUGGCGAAGGCGGCUUACUGGGCUUUUACUGACGCUGAGGCUCGAAAGCGUGGGGAGCAAACAGGAUUAGAUACCCUGGUAGUCCACGCUGUAAACGAUGAUUACUAGGUGUGGGGGGACUGACCCCUUCCGUGCCGCAGUUAACACAAUAAGUAAUCCACCUGGGGAGUACGGCCGCAAGGUUGAAACUCAAAUGAAUUGGCGGG